RNAcentral lists this long non-coding RNA (952 nucleotides) under Cricetulus griseus (Chinese hamster). RNAcentral's name for it is "lncRNA (ENSCGRG00015039389.1)". The record is from RNAcentral. Lineage: Eukaryota; Metazoa; Chordata; Mammalia; Rodentia; Cricetidae.
CUUACCCAGCACCGACAGCCAUGCUUUCAGGAGAGCCAGUUCCGCGGAGUAUCUAACACUGUUCAGUUCCCAAGGAAAGGAGCCUUGAUGCAAGGGAGGAGCUCCGUCCUGCCUCAACUUAACAUGCCAUGCUAUGUCCAAGCCCAUGGGAGGCCUGCCCCUUUCUGAAUGGAGAAGGAGGAGGAGUGAAUGGAAAGAGCUUUCAUACAGUAGCUGUUUGAAGCAGAAAUAGGCACCCACAGCUAAGCACUGAACCAUACUCCUGGAAUACGAUUGUGGAGAGGGAGGAGGGACGAGCAAAGGAGCCAAGACGGUACUGCAGAAACCCAAAGAAACAGUUGACCUGUGCUGUGCCUGUCUCGACCAGCAAGAAAGACACAACUCGGGAACUCUUCUUCCUGCAGUUUAUUUCAGGAGCCUUGUACAAUCUUCUUCUGGGGGCCCCGAGGAAACCCGACCCUCUGCUUAAAAGCGCCCUUGGCAACCCACCCCAGACCGCCAGGUGGCAAAAGCAGAAGGGUCCACAUACACGGAAGCAGGCCUGAAGCCCACCCAGCCUUUGCCAGAUAAGAAAUUGUCCAACAAAAAGACCUCUCACCCUUGGGAUGGUGGAAGGCAGAAGCUGGCGCCAUCUUUUGGGCUGACAAAGCGCAGCUCUCCACAGACCUGACCUAGUGAGAGCAUGGAGACCCUAGUCAUAAAGCUGGGGAAACAACAUUGGACCGAAACAAGCCCUCUGAAUGUAGGUGACAGCUAAGAGACCAAGACAGUCUAUGGGACCUCUAACAGUAGAGCCAGUCUUUAACCCUAGAGCACAAAAUGGACUUUGGGAGCCCAUUCCCUAUGGAGGGAUACUAUUGCAACCCAGAUACAGCAAGGAGGGCUUUGGCCCUCCCCCAAAUGAUAUGACAGACUUUGAAGGUCCCUGGUGGAGGGCCUCACUAUCCCUGGG